Molecule: long non-coding RNA, 209 nt
Organism: Brienomyrus brachyistius
Lineage: Eukaryota; Metazoa; Chordata; Actinopteri; Osteoglossiformes; Mormyridae
Exons: 3
Source: RefSeq, a predicted model, not a curated record
AGCACGGAGUACUACCUGUAUGAGAUUCCUCUGUUUAUCGUCAUGGGAGCCUUCGGUGGAUUGCUGGGAGCACUGUUCAACGUCCUGAACUACUGGCUCACCAUCCUCAGGAUCAGGUAUAUCCACCGGCCCUGCCUGCAGGUGAUCGAGGCCAUACUGGUUGCUGCCGUGACGGCCCACUGUGUUCUUCACUAUGAUCUACUUCUCCA